ACUAUUCUCACCGGCGUUUUCUACUGGAUCGCUCAGCUUGCUGGCUCCGUUGUCGCGUGCUACCUCCUCAAAGUUGUCACGGGAGGCUUGGUAAUCACACACUUGCUCUCUACAUGUUUGUUGCAACAUGAAAAUUGUUUUGAAAAUGAAAGCAAGUAAAUAUGUUUGUUAAUUUUGGUUUUAUAUGACAUUUUUUUCUUGCAGGCCGUUCCGAUCCACGGUGUGGCAGCUGGGGUGGGAGCAAUACAAGGAGUUGUGUUCGAGAUUAUAAUCACCUUUGCUCUGGUUUACACAGUUUACGCCACAGCAGCUGACCCAAAGAAGGGUGCACUAGGCACAAUUGCACCGAUUGCUAUCGGUUUCAUUGUAGGUGCCAAUAUCUUGGCAGCAGGGCCUUUCUCAGGGGGAUCGAUGAACCCGGCCAGAUCAUUUGGCCCUGCUGUGGCCAGUGGCGACUUCAGUGGUCACUGGAUCUACUGGGUCGGACCCCUCGUCGGAGGAGGAUUGGCCGGACUCAUUUACCCUAAUGUGUUCAUGCAACAGGAACACAUUCCUCUUACGAACCAGUACUGAUGAUCAUCUCAGUUCUCUCACCCCAUGGAGACUUUGUUUUCUGAAUAAGAGAAAGGAAAGGAGGUUGAUUUACUUCACUUUUCUUUCUUUUGUGAAUUUCUAAUUUAAUUCCUUUUUUCUUCUCAUUUCAGAUCUGUAAAAUCCAGAGUGUGUUGUUCUCUUUAUUUUAUGUAUGGAGUUGGAUUCAAAUUUAGCCCACUUUUCUCGACUGUUUUCCAUAUAAUUGCUUUGAAUUGUGAUGCAACUAAAAAUUAAAUCUGUUUCAACAGCAACACAAGCUACAUUCAGAAAAUAAAUUAAAAUAUUUUCUUUUUGUUACAGUCAAA
RNAcentral lists this long non-coding RNA (899 nucleotides) under Daucus carota (carrot). RNAcentral's name for it is "long non-coding RNA (DCAR_LNC001493)". The record is from RNAcentral. Lineage: Eukaryota; Viridiplantae; Streptophyta; Magnoliopsida; Apiales; Apiaceae.